GCCCAUUGCCUCCUCCUCCGCAGCUGUCACCACCACCACCACCGCCACCGCCACCUCCACCCCCUCCUCCACCUCCACCUUCUCCGUCGCCUUCAAAACCUCCUCUUUCAUCAUCAACACCCUCGGAAUCCCCACGAUCGCCAUCACCUCCUAAACCACGAUGGCCAUCACCUCCUAAACCACGAUGGCCAUCACCUCCUAAACCACGAUCCCCAUCACCUCCUAAACCAAAAUCACCAUCACGUCGAGCACCAAAAUCACCACCACCUCCAGCACGCGUACCGCCACCUCCACCACGUUCUGCAAGCAAGUCGCCACGUUCUGCAAGUAGUCCGCCGCCGCCACCUAAGCAUACGUUGCGCAACGGCUCCUCAAACGAGAGCACGACGGGGAAGCAAUCACCGUCAUCAACGACGAAAAAUAGUCAGGAGAUG
RNAcentral lists this long non-coding RNA (434 nucleotides) under Manihot esculenta (cassava). RNAcentral describes it as "long non-coding RNA (MESC_LNC002551)". Lineage: Eukaryota; Viridiplantae; Streptophyta; Magnoliopsida; Malpighiales; Euphorbiaceae. The record is from RNAcentral.